This is a long non-coding RNA of Cercocebus atys (sooty mangabey), 288 nucleotides long. RefSeq lists it as uncharacterized. NCBI's taxonomy places the organism in Eukaryota, Metazoa, Chordata, Mammalia, Primates, Cercopithecidae. The record is from RefSeq and is a predicted model, not a curated record. The transcript has 2 exons.
CAUUGGCCCAAUACUUACACCUACACCAAGGCCUUGGGAGAAAUGGUGGUGCAGCAGGAGAGCAGGAGCCUAACCAUCGCCAUCAUAAGGCCCUCCAUUGUGGGAGCAAUGUGGCAUAAGCCUUUCCCAGGUUGGGUUGAUAAUCUAAAUGGACCUAGCCGACUCAUUAUUGCGGUAUGUAUAGGGAUGAAGAAAUAACUCUGAAAUGUAGUGGAGGAAUAGUAACAGAAUUCUUAGUGCUGGCUUAGCUUCAUUGAUCCAAAAACGUAAAUGCUACUUUACUAUCAA